CACGAAUCAGAAUUUUUAAGAAAACAUAUCGGGAGAAAAACAUAGAAACUAGAAAUGAAUUGUUAACAGGCAACACAGAAGUAGUCAGUGCUGCAAGAGCCCAUGCCCACUUAUCUACAUAUUAACAACAUGAUCUCAUCCACAAGUUCUGGGCUUCUACUCCAAAAGAUGCAUCGCAGGCGCUCUGCCCCCACCAAAGGAUGCCACAUACAAAUGCCUCACAUAUUCUCUCCAAAAACCCACGUCAAUUAAAACUACGUGCCACAACCUAUUUUAUAGUAGUAACCAUUAAGUCAAAUUGCAACCAGCCUUUUUCCCUGCAGCUAAAAGAAAAUCCCUUUGAUCACAAAGACAGGAGGCCGCUACCUAUUCUCAACCAAAC
Molecule: long non-coding RNA, 382 nt
Filed under: Phoenix dactylifera (date palm)
Lineage: Eukaryota; Viridiplantae; Streptophyta; Magnoliopsida; Arecales; Arecaceae
Description: long non-coding RNA (PDAC_LNC002657)
Source: RNAcentral